RNAcentral lists this unclassified non-coding RNA (90 nucleotides) under Pseudomonas lini. The record is from RNAcentral. Lineage: Bacteria; Pseudomonadati; Pseudomonadota; Gammaproteobacteria; Pseudomonadales; Pseudomonadaceae.
UGUGGGAGCGGGCUUGCUCGCGAAUGCGGAGGAUCAGUUAGCAUCAAUGUCGACUGAUAGAUCGCUUUCGCGAGCAAGCCCGCUCCCACA